GAUUCUGUGCUUUAAGGCUGGUCUGAAGGAUGAAAAGGAAACUGGUAAAUUCGUGUCGUCUCUGGUGAGGAAGCAACUGGGACGUAUCUAUGCUGUAAAGUACGAUCCUAACAUGAAUGUCCUUUACGUGGCCAGUAUGUUGUCUGGACGAGGUUUUGGCAGUACCAUCGGCUUACUGAACGGUGAAGUUAUUGCUACCUGGCACACCGGAAGAAACAUGAACAACAAAGCUAUGCCCCACGACAUUGCUGUUGCACCGAACGGACGUGCGGUCUACGUCACGGACAUCCUCAACGAAGACAACCCACUCUUCAAACUCCAGUAUUAAUGAUGACGCCAUUUUUAUUUUGGGGUUAAUUCAUCAUUGGUUGAAUUUAGUUACUAUUUAGAUUACUAUUAAUUAGAAGUUAAUUAUAGUUCUGAUCUCUACCUGUACCUUAUCAGGUGAGAGAAGGGGAAGUAAUUAUGGCGGUGAUGGGGAAACAAUAUAAUAAAUAAAUAAAUAAAAAAA
RNA transcript from Octopus sinensis (East Asian common octopus), 511 nucleotides. RefSeq lists it as uncharacterized. The record is from RefSeq and is a predicted model, not a curated record. The transcript has 3 exons. NCBI's taxonomy places the organism in Eukaryota, Metazoa, Mollusca, Cephalopoda, Octopoda, Octopodidae.